CCCUUAGAUGUUCUGGGCUGCACGCGCGCUACACUGAUGCACUCAACGAGUUUACGACCUUGCCCGAUAGGGUUGGGUAAUCUUUUUAAAAUGCAUCGUGAUGGGGAUAGAUUAUUGCAAUUAUUAAUCUUCAACGAGGAAUUCCUAGUAAGCGCGAGUCAUCAGCUCGUGCUGAUUACGUCCCUGCCCUUUGUACACACCGCCCGUCACUCCUACCGAUUGAGUGCUCAGGUGAAUAAUUCGGACUGCAGCAAUGUUUGGAUCCCGAACGUUGCAGCGGAAAGUUUAGUGAACCUUAUCACUUAGAGGAAGGAGAAGUCGUAACA
RNAcentral lists this ribosomal RNA (326 nucleotides) under uncultured eukaryote. RNAcentral's name for it is "partial 18S ribosomal RNA". It matches the Rfam family "Eukaryotic small subunit ribosomal RNA", at positions 1470 to 1796 of the family's 1831-position model. The record is from RNAcentral.